This 461-nucleotide ribosomal RNA is filed under the name uncultured bacterium. RNAcentral describes it as "partial 16S ribosomal RNA". It matches the Rfam family "Bacterial small subunit ribosomal RNA", at positions 338 to 795 of the family's 1533-position model. The record is from RNAcentral.
CCUACGGGGGGCAGCAGUGAGGAAUAUUGGUCAAUGGGCGGGAGCCUGAACCAGUCAAGUCGCGUGAGGGAAGACGGUCCUAUGGAUUGUAAACCUCUUUAGGCGGGGAGCAAAGCCGGGCACGCGUGCCCGGAGGGAGAGUACCCGCAGAAUAAGCAUCGGCUAACUCCGUGCCAGCAGCCGCGGGAAUACGUAGGUGGCAAGCGUUAUCCGGAUUUACUGGGGGUAAAGGGCGUGUAGGCGGGAGUGCAAGUCAGAUGGGAAAACUAUGGGCUCAACCCAUAGCCUGCCUUUGAAAAUGUACUUCUUGAGUGCUGGAGAGGCACUCGGAAGGCGGUGUGUAGCGGUGAAAUGCGUAGAUAUACGGAGGAACACCAGUGGCGAAGGCGGAUUGCUGGACAGUAACUGACGCUGAGGCGCGAAAGCGUGGGGAGCAAACAGGAUUAGAUACCCGAGUAGUC